RNAcentral lists this ribosomal RNA (496 nucleotides) under uncultured bacterium. RNAcentral's name for it is "partial 16S ribosomal RNA". It matches the Rfam family "Bacterial small subunit ribosomal RNA", at positions 28 to 506 of the family's 1533-position model. The record is from RNAcentral.
GAUGAACGCUGGCGGCGUGCCUAAUACAUGCAAGUCGAGCGAACAGACGAGGAGCUUGCUCCUCUGACGUUAGCGGCGGACGGGUGAGUAACACGUGGAUAACCUACCUAUAAGACUGGGAUAACUUCGGGAAACCGGAGCUAAUACCGGAUAAUAUAUUGAACCGCAUGGUUCAAUAGUGAAAGACGGUUUUGCUGUCACUUAUAGAUGGAUCCGCGCCGCAUUAGCUAGUUGGUAAGGUAACGGCUUACCAAGGCGACGAUGCGUAGCCGACCUGAGAGGGUGAUCGGCCACACUGGAACUGAGACACGGUCCAGACUCCUACGGGAGGCAGCAGUAGGGAAUCUUCCGCAAUGGGCGAAAGCCUGACGGAGCAACGCCGCGUGAGUGAGGAAGGUCUGCGGAUCGUAAAACUCUGUUAUUAGGGAAGAACAAAUGUGUAAGUAACUAUGCACGUCUUGACGGUACCUAAUCAGAAAGCCACGGCUAACUACGU